GUUGAAGGAUUUGGAAAAUUCCGCUAAAGAGGGUGAAAGCCCCGUAGACGAAAUGCUGACAACACCUAGGAGGAUCCUGAGUACGGCGGAACACGAGAAAUUCCGUCGGAAUCCGCGGGGACCAUCCCGCAAGGCUAAAUACUCCCUAGUGACCGAUAGUGAACCAGUACCGUGAGGGAAAGGUGAAAAGCACCCCGGAAGGGGAGUGAAAUAGAUCCUGAAACCGUGUGCCUACAACAAGUCAAAGCUCGUUAAUGAGUGAUGGCGUGCCUUUUGUAGAAUGAACCGGCGAGUUACGAUUGCAUGCGAGGUUAAGUCGAAGAGACGGAGCCGCAGCGAAAGCGAGUCUGAAUAGGGCGAAUGAGUAUGUAGUCGUAGACCCGAAACCAUGUGAUCUACCCAUGUCCAGGUUGAAGGUGCGGUAAAACGCACUGGAGGACCGAACCCACGUACGUUGAAAAGUGCGGGGAUGAGGUGUGGGUAGCGGAGAAAUUCCAAACGAACUUGGAGAUAGCUGGUUCUCUCCGAAAUAGCUUUAGGGCUAGCCUCGGAAUUGAGAAUGAUGGAGGUAGAGCACUGUUUGGACUAGGGGCCCAUCUCGGGUUACCGAAUUCAGAUAAACUCCGAAUGCCAUUCAUUUAUAUCCGGGAGUCAGACUGCGAGUGAUAAGAUCCGUAGUCGAAAGGGAAACAGCCCAGACCACCAGCUAAGGUCCCAAAAUAUAUGUUAAGUGGAAAAGGAUGUGGGGUUGCACAGACAACUAGGAUGUUGGCUUAGAAGCAGCCACCAUUUAAAGAGUGCGUAAUAGCUCACUAGUCGAGUGACCCUGCGCCGAAAAUGUACCGGGGCUAAACAUAUUACCGAAGCUGUGGACUACACCAUUAGGUGUAGUGGUAGGAGAGCGUUCUAAGGGCGUUGAAGGUCGAUCGUGAGGACGGCUGGAGCGCUUAGAAGUGAGAAUGCCGGUAUGAGUAGCGAAAGACAGGUGAGAAUCCUGUCCACCGUAUGACUAAGGUUUCCUGGGGAAGGCUCGUCCGCCCAGGGUUAGUCGGGACCUAAGCCGAGGCCGAUAGGCGUAGGCGAUGGACAACAGGUUGAUAUUCCUGUACCAGUUGUUUUUGUUUGAGCAAUGGAGGGACGCAGUAGGCUAAGGAAUGCAUGCGAUUGGAAGUGCAUGUCCAAGCAAUGAGUCUUGAGUAGAGUUAAAUGCUUUACUCUUUAAGGACAAGUUGUGACGGGGAGCGAAAUAAUAGUAGCGAAGUUCCUGAUGUCACACUGCCAAGAAAAGCUUCUAGUGAGAAAACAACUGCCCGUACCGUAAACCGACACAGGUAGUCGAGGAGAGUAUCCUAAGGUGAGCGAGCGAACUCUCGUUAAGGAACUCGGCAAAAUGACCCCGUAACUUCGGGAGAAGGGGUGCUGACUUCGGUCAGCCGCAGUGAAUAGGCCCAAGCGACUGUUUAUCAAAAACACAGGUCUCUGCAAAAUCGUAAGAUGAAGUAUAGGGGCUGACGCCUGCCCGGUGCUGGAAGGUUAAGAGGAUGGGUUAGCUUCGGCGAAGCUCAGAAUUGAAGCCCCAGUAAACGGCGGCCGUAACUAUAACGGUCCUAAGGUAGCGAAAUUCCUUGUCGGGUAAGUUCCGACCCGCACGAAAGGCGUAACGAUUUGGGCACUGUCUCAACGAGAGACUCGGUGAAAUUUUAGUACCUGUGAAGAUGCAGGUUACCCGCGACAGGACGGAAAGACCCCAUGGAGCUUUACUGUAGUUUGAUAUUGAGUGUUUGUACCACAUGUACAGGAUAGGUAGGAGCCGAUGAGACCGGA
This 1824-nucleotide ribosomal RNA is filed under the name Enterococcus faecalis. RNAcentral describes it as "partial 23S ribosomal RNA". It matches the Rfam family "Bacterial large subunit ribosomal RNA", at positions 332 to 2167 of the family's 2925-position model. The record is from RNAcentral. Lineage: Bacteria; Bacillati; Bacillota; Bacilli; Lactobacillales; Enterococcaceae.